This is a long non-coding RNA of Clupea harengus (Atlantic herring), 1886 nucleotides long. NCBI's taxonomy places the organism in Eukaryota, Metazoa, Chordata, Actinopteri, Clupeiformes, Clupeidae. The record is from Ensembl.
UUUCAAUUAGUAUCACAGCUGUGUCAUUAUUAACUUGAACUGUAGUUGUCAACUUGAGACUUCCAUAGAGCAAUGUAGUUAAAUCUGUUGAAAGCAGAAACAAAAUACAAAACUUAAUACUUUUCUUCUUCAGAACUUUAUCAAAUGAUGAGCUGUAUAGUAAUUGUUUGCAUAUGCAGUCAUACUCAGAAGGGGUGGAUUUGGGUCAGCAGUGGAUGGGCCUCUUGGUGUAGAUUGCUCUGAUGUGGUUUGAUCAAAUGAAGUUCCGCUGGUGGUGGGGUUGGUUGAUGUACUAUGAUGUGGUGUACUUGUACUUGUAGGAGGAAAAAUAUCAAAGAAACCUGAGGUUAUAGUUUUUGUUGUGGUUGUCUCAGGUGUGGUUGACAUAGUUGUCUCAGGUGUACUUGUAGGAGGGCUGGUUGGUUUCAUAGCUGUUGGGACAUGAGUGAUCAUUUCAGGAAAAAUCUCUGAGGUUAUAGUUUUUGAUGUGGUUGUCUCAGGUGUGGUUGACAUAGUUGUCUCAGGUGUACUUGUAGGAGGGCUGGUUGGUUUCAUAGCUGUUGGGACAUGAGUGAUCAUUUCAGGAAAAAUCUCUGAGGUUAUAGUUUUUGAUGUGGUUGUCUCAGGUGUGGUUGACAUAGUUGUCUCAGGUGUACUUGUAGGAGGGCUGAUUGGUUUCAUAGCUGUACUUGAGGUUGGGUCAUGAGUUGAUGUACUUGUUUCAAGGAUACUUGAGGUUGUAGCAUGUUCAGUUGUGCUUGUUGGAAGAUAGGUUGAUGUGGUUCUUUCAUUUGUAAUCCCAGUUGUUGGAGAAUGUGUUGGUGUAACUGUUAUAGGCAUGCUGGUGGCAGUGCUGGUUGAUGCAGCUGAUGACAUAGUUGUCUCAGGUGUACUUGUAGGAGGGCUUGUUGGUUUCAUAGCUGUACUUGAGGUUGGGUCAUAAGUUGAUGUACUUGUUUCAAGGAUACUUGAGGUUGUAGCAUGUUCAGUUGUGCUUGUUGGAAGAUAGGUUGAUGUGGUUCUUUCAUUUGUAAUCCCAGUUGUUGGAGAAUGUGUUGGUGUAACUGUUUUAGGCAUGCUGGUGUAGAUUGGUGUAGAUUGCUCUGAUGUGGUUUGAUCAAAUGAAGUUACGCUGGUGGUGGGGUUGGUUGAUGUACUAUGACGUGGUGUACUUGUAGGAGGGCUGGUUGGUUUCAUAGCUGUACUCAAGGUUGGGUCAUAAGUUGAUGUACUUGUUUCAAGGAUACUUGAGGUUGUAGCAUGUUCAGUUGUGCUUGUUGGAAGAUAGGUUGAUGUGGUUCUUUCAUUUGUAAUCCCAGUUGUUGGAGAAUGUGUUGGUGUAACUGUUUUAGGCAUGCUGGUGUAGAUUGGUGUAGAUUGCUCUGAUGUGGUUUGAUCAAAUGAAGUUACGCUGGUGGUGGGGUUGGUUGAUGUACUAUGAUGUGGUGUACUUGAACUUGUAGGAGGGCUGGUUGGUGUCAUAGCUGUACUCAAGGUUGGGUCAUGAGUUGAUGCACUUGUUUCAAGGAUACUUGAGGGUGUAGCAUGUUCAGUUGUGCUUGUUGGAAGAUAGGUUGAUGUGGUUCUUUCAUUUGUAAUCCCAGUUGUUGGAGAAUUUGUUGGUGUAACUGUUUUAGGCAUGCUGGUGGCAGUGCUGGUUGAUGCAGCUGAUGCUGGAAGGGUGACUGGUGUAGUCGUUUUUGAUGUGGCUGUUGAACGUGUGGUUGAAGUAGUUAACUCAGGUGUACUUGCAGUUGUUGGAGACUCAACAAGUUCACCUGAAUCAACCUCCCCUGAACCAACCUCCCCUUCAACAAUAGCAAAGAUAUUUGAAGUCGUAGAAGUUAUAGAGGUUGUAGAAGUUAUAGAGGUUGACUGUGCGAAUG